UUUUAUUCAUCUUAUUCAUUGCUUGUGCUUGAAAAGAUACGUAAAAUGAUUAUGAUUGAAUUGUGAGAUUGUGUGCAUCAAGUGUGAUGCAGGAUAUUCAUUUUCUUGUUUUUGAUAGGUACUGAUGCACCUUUGGGAUAAUGUAUCAGGUACCAUUGCUUGAGCCUCACUAAAGAUGUUCCGGGUCAUCUCUUAGCUUCUCUAAAGAGGCUGUGAAGUUAGUUGAGAGGGGGAGAUUCCAAACCUGGUCGAUGAAGAGGGCAAGCCGUGUGUGAAGUGUUGAUAAGUCUCACUAGUGUUUUGAAGAUGAUCUGGUCGUGUCCUAGCUUCUCUAAGAUGGCUGUGAAGUCAGUUGAGAGGGGGAGACUUCAAACCGGUUUCAUGAAGAUGUGAAGCUGAGUUGUUUAAUGCGCAAGGUCUUGAUGAGUUGCUGCACCAGUUUAGGCCGUGAUCCAGAACUUCUUGUGUCCA
Molecule: long non-coding RNA, 471 nt
Filed under: Brassica napus (rape)
Lineage: Eukaryota; Viridiplantae; Streptophyta; Magnoliopsida; Brassicales; Brassicaceae
Description: long non-coding RNA (BNAP_LNC003239)
Source: RNAcentral